Molecule: non-coding RNA, 88 nt
Organism: Acanthosepion pharaonis
Lineage: Eukaryota; Metazoa; Mollusca; Cephalopoda; Sepiida; Sepiidae
Source: the annotation of a GenBank genome assembly
AUUAAAAUACCAGUUCCCAUAUGAUCACUAAAGUUAAGCAACAUUGAGCCUGUCCAGUACCUAGAUGGGCGACCACUUGGGAAUACUA